RNAcentral lists this ribosomal RNA (493 nucleotides) under uncultured bacterium. RNAcentral's name for it is "bacterial SSU rRNA". It matches the Rfam family "Bacterial small subunit ribosomal RNA", at positions 28 to 529 of the family's 1533-position model. The record is from RNAcentral.
GAUGAACGCUAGCGGCAGGCUUAAUACAUGCAAGUCAAGGGGUCAGCAAUGGCACCGGCGGACGGGUGAGUAACGCGUACACAACGUACCUUUAACUGGGGGAUAGCAUUUGGAAACGAGUGGUAAUACCGCAUGUGGUUGUAGGGAGGCAUCUUUUUGCAACUAAAACUCAGGUGGUUAAAGAUCGGUGUGCGUCCGAUUAGCUAGUUGGUGAGGUAAUGGCUCACCAAGGCGACGAUCGGUAGGGGGCGUGAGAGCGUGAACCCCCACACGGGUACUGAGACACGGACCCGACUCCUACGGGAGGCAGCAGUAAGGAAUAUUGGUCAAUGGAGGCAACUCUGAACCAGCCAUGCCGCGUGAAGGAGAAGGCGCUAUGCGUUGUAAACUUCUUUUGGGUGGGAAGAAAAUGGUCAAUUUAUUGACAACUGACGGUACCAUCAGAAUAAGCACCGGCUAACUCCGUGCCAGCAGCCGCGGUAAACUACUCGUA